UACGGAGGGUGCGAGCGUUGUCCGGAAUCACUGGGCGUAAAGGGCGCGUAGGCGGCUUCUCAAGCGUGUGGUGAAAGUCCGGGGCUCAACCCCGGAUCGGCCGUGCGGACUGGGGAGCUCGAGUUCUGUAGAGGCGGGUGGAAUUCCGGGUGUAGCGGUGGAAUGCGUAGAGAUCAGGAGGAACACCAAUGGCGAAGGCAGCACUCUGGGACGGUACUGACGCUGAGACGCGAAAGCGUGGGGAGCAAACAGG
RNAcentral lists this ribosomal RNA (253 nucleotides) under uncultured bacterium. Its description in RNAcentral is "partial 16S ribosomal RNA". It matches the Rfam family "Bacterial small subunit ribosomal RNA", at positions 524 to 776 of the family's 1533-position model. The record is from RNAcentral.